Nematostella vectensis (starlet sea anemone) is the source of this 1028-nucleotide long non-coding RNA. RefSeq lists it as uncharacterized. The record is from RefSeq and is a predicted model, not a curated record. The transcript is spliced from 2 exons. NCBI's taxonomy places the organism in Eukaryota, Metazoa, Cnidaria, Anthozoa, Actiniaria, Edwardsiidae.
GGUACCUGCAUUCACCAAUAACAGAAUAUCAUUUGGAAGGCAGGAUCACAGACAGUUUAGUGAGCUGAGUGAGGUUAGGCAUUCCCAAUAACAGGAUAUCAUUUGGAAGGCAGGAUUACAGACAGUUUAGUGAGCUGAGUGAGGUUGGGCAUUCACCUGAGCAGGAGAAGCGGCUUCUUUCUAUGCCCGGUCGAUACAUGGAUGGUAUGUUUUCUAUUUCUUGCCAUUGAACAUCCUUGGGGAUGUUCUAUGGCGAAAAAACCAGGGGGACACGGAGAUCGGGCACGCACGCUCCCUGUGUGCCCGAACUCCGCGACGCCCUGGGUCCCCGAGGAUGGCCAUAGAAGUAUUUUUUUUCUGUUUCUCAGUCCUAAAUUUGACUUGUUGAACAAAUGUGGGCUAGAAGCUUGUGGUCCUCAUAUCUCAAGAUGGACAUUGUUAAUACCUCUAUUAUGGCAUGGUCACUCCUUAUACGUAAUGGGAUUUUAAUGUUAAGCGCUUUAAUACGUAUCAUGAUUUCACGCCAAAGCGCUUGGAAACUGUGCAAUAGGCGCUAUUCAAACACUUAUACUUAUUUUUCUAUCCAUUAUUAAGAGAAUCGAAAGUUACAUAUAUUGUGUUUUCAAGGGCUGAGGAAUGUCGAUCAGCCAUUCCCUUAUUAUUCAAUACGUCAUCAAACAAUACAGCGGUUUAUUCGACAAGUCACUUACUUCAAGGUCCUACUGAAGGAAACAAUACCGCGGUUUAUUCGACAAGUCACUUACUUCAAGGUCCUACUGAAGGAUGAGAGAACUGGGAGCAUUGGGACGUCCUGUUGAAAACAAUUCAAAAUAAUAAUUACAAGCGAUUUUUAUAACGGCGAAUUCCUUACAUAAAUUCCUAUUGCCUUCCGCCAGACAAAAGCCAUGAACUGUUUUCAUUGGUUUUAAAUUUGACAGGUUUCAACAAAGACAUCUCACUGCAAUGCGUUGACCAAUCAAAGGAUAAAUAACGUUAUCUAUUUAAAUAAACUAAUUAAAAUAAACUAA